GUACACACCGCCCGUCGAUACAACCGAUUGAAUGGCUUAGUGAGGCCCUUGGAUGCGCGGCCGCCUCGGCAGUCGCGCAGGAAUCGUCCAAACUUGGUCAUUUAGAGGAUGUAAAAGUCGUAACAAGGUCUCCGUAGGUGAACCUGCAGAAGGAUCA
This 157-nucleotide ribosomal RNA is filed under the name uncultured eukaryote. RNAcentral's name for it is "partial small subunit ribosomal RNA". It matches the Rfam family "Eukaryotic small subunit ribosomal RNA", at positions 1662 to 1828 of the family's 1831-position model. The record is from RNAcentral.